CCGCCUCCUCCUCCUCCCCUCUGCCUCGCCCCGCCGCCUCCUCGCCGCACGACGGUCUCGCCUCGCCAGCAACCCCGCCGGUCUUCCCUAGAUAAACUCUGCCGCUGCCAUCCCCAUGUCCUAGCGCAGAUCUAGACGGGAGCUAGAGGGGCAUGCUGGACACGAUGCGGGAGCGGGCAUAUCAUAGAGGACCGAGAUCCAGUGCAUCUACGUGCCCGCUGUCAUUGUUGUCCCCCGUGCUUGGCUCCCACACUCGCUCCGGGUAGGCGCUCGCAGCUCGCCUACUGCUCGGCUGCUCUAGGUACUUGACGGACUCAGUUAAAGCACAACGUCAGGCUGCAGCAGAAGCUUGAGGAAUGCAGGGGCUAAUGAUAGUACUCAUCAACCAAAAUUACCGGCGUUGCCAACCAUGCUUUGAACUUUCGGAGAUCAAGCUGUACGGUUGUACAAUGAAGAUUUUUGAUGCAGUUUAAGGAUUCAAGUGGCGAUUGCAACCCAAAAUGUUGCAAAGAAUCUGCUACCAGAGGCUUCAUUAUGCACAUCUUUUCUUUUUACAAAAUGAAGUCUGAUCUGCUGUCAUCACAUCAACACGUAUGCCUACAUCACCAAUGUUUGUACAGCGACAUUUAUUCACAGACAAAUGAAGAUAUUCUAAGGUUAGAAUUCAACACCUGGUUUGUAUCGUAGUUGGGUGACAGCAGAUUGCACAGUGGCCUCUCGGCAGUGUGAAAAUCCAGCAGAAGAAAUCACCUGAUCAUAUAUUUGAUUAUACUUCUGAUUGC
Long non-coding RNA from Triticum dicoccoides, 782 nucleotides. RefSeq lists it as uncharacterized. The record is from RefSeq and is a predicted model, not a curated record. NCBI's taxonomy places the organism in Eukaryota, Viridiplantae, Streptophyta, Magnoliopsida, Poales, Poaceae. The transcript has 3 exons.